Molecule: ribosomal RNA, 497 nt
Filed under: uncultured bacterium
Lineage: Bacteria
Description: partial 16S ribosomal RNA
Rfam family: Bacterial small subunit ribosomal RNA
Source: RNAcentral
GAUGAACGCUGGCGGCGUGCCUAAUACAUGCAAGUCGAGCGAACAGACGAGGAGCUUGCUCCUCUGACGUUAGCGGCGGACGGGUGAGUAACACGUGGAUAACCUACCUAUAAGACUGGGAUAACUUCGGGAAACCGGAGCUAAUACCGGAUAAUAUAUUGAACCGCAUGGUUCAAUAGUGAAAGACAGUUUUGCUGUCACUUAUAGAUGGAUCCGCGCCGCAUUAGCUAGUUGGUAAGGUAACGGCUUACCAAGGCAACGAUGCGUAGCCGACCUGAGAGGGUGAUCGGCCACACUGGAACUGAGACACGGUCCAGACUCCUACGGGAGGCAGCAGUAGGGAAUCUUCCGCAAUGGGCGAAAGCUUGACGGAGCAACGCCGCGUGAGUGAUGAAGGUCUUCGGAUCGUAAAACUCUGUUAUUAGGGAAGAACAAAUGUGUAAGUAACUAUGCACGUCUUGACGGUACCUAAUCAGAAAGCCACGGCUAACUACGUG